UGCGACCUCAGGUCAGGGGGGGGCUA
This 26-nucleotide ribosomal RNA is filed under the name Spyridium globulosum. RNAcentral's name for it is "partial 26S ribosomal RNA". The record is from RNAcentral. Lineage: Eukaryota; Viridiplantae; Streptophyta; Magnoliopsida; Rosales; Rhamnaceae.